GUGAGUAGUUCAGAGUUUGAGUCCUGGCUCAGGACGAACGCUGCGGCGUGCCUAACACAUGCAAGUCGAACGGAGUUGACCUUCGGGUUAACUUAGUGGCGAACGGGUGAGUAACGCGUGAGAAACCUGCCUUUCAGUGGGGGACAACAGUUGGAAACGACUGCUAAUACCGCAUAAUGUACCGAGAGGGCAUCCUCUUGGUACCAAAGAUUUAUUGCUGAAAGAUGGUCUCGCGUCUGAUUAGCUAGUUGGUGAGGUAACGGCUCACCAAGGCGACGAUCAGUAGCCGGUCUGAGAGGAUGAACGGCCACAUUGGGACUGAGAUACGGCCCAG
This 334-nucleotide ribosomal RNA is filed under the name uncultured bacterium. RNAcentral's name for it is "bacterial SSU rRNA". It matches the Rfam family "Bacterial small subunit ribosomal RNA", at positions 1 to 334 of the family's 1533-position model. The record is from RNAcentral.